AGUGGCGGACGGGUGAGUAACGCGUAAGAAUCUAACUUCAGGACGGGGACAACAGUUGGAAACGACUGCUAAUACCCGAUGUGCCGCAAGGUGAAACCUAAUUGGCCUGGGGAAGAGCUUGCGUCUGAUUAGCUAGUUGGUGGGGUAAAGGCCUACCAAGGCGACGAUCAGUAGCUGGUCUGAGAGGAUGAGCAGCCACACUGGGACUGAGACACGGCCCAGACUCCUACGGGAGGCAGCAGUGGGGAAUUUUCCGCAAUGGGCGAAAGCCUGACGGAGCAACGCCGCGUGAGGGAGGAAGGUCUUUGGAUUGUAAACCUCUUUUCUCAAGGAAGAAGUUCUGACGGUACUUGAGGAAUCAGCCUCGGCUAACUCCGUGCCAGCAGCCGCGGUAAUACGGGGGAGGCAAGCGUUAUCCGGAAUUAUUGGGCGUAAAGCGUCCGCAGGUGGUCAGCCAAGUCUGCCGUCAAAUCAGGUUGCUUAACGACCUAGAGGCGGUGGAAACUGGCAGACUAGAGAGCAGUAGGGGUAGCAGGAAUUCCCAGUGUAGCGGUGAAAUGCGUAGAGAUUGGGAAGAACAUCGGUGGCGAAAGCGUGCUACUGGGCUGUAUCUGACACUCAGGGACGAAAGCUAGGGGAGCGAAAGGGAUUAGAUACCCCUGUAGUCCUAGCCGUAAACGAUGGAUACUAGGCGUGGCUU
RNAcentral lists this ribosomal RNA (700 nucleotides) under uncultured bacterium. Its description in RNAcentral is "bacterial SSU rRNA". It matches the Rfam family "Bacterial small subunit ribosomal RNA", at positions 94 to 828 of the family's 1533-position model. The record is from RNAcentral.